This 275-nucleotide ribosomal RNA is filed under the name Salmonella enterica subsp. enterica serovar Senftenberg. RNAcentral describes it as "partial 16S ribosomal RNA". It matches the Rfam family "Bacterial small subunit ribosomal RNA", at positions 1 to 272 of the family's 1533-position model. Lineage: Bacteria; Pseudomonadati; Pseudomonadota; Gammaproteobacteria; Enterobacterales; Enterobacteriaceae. The record is from RNAcentral.
AAAUUGAAGAGUUUGAUCAUGGCUCAGAUUGAACGCUGGCGGCAGGCCUAACACAUGCAAGUCGAACGGUAACAGGAAGCAGCUUGCUGCUUCGCUGACGAGUGGCGGACGGGUGAGUAAUGUCUGGGAAACUGCCUGAUGGAGGGGGAUAACUACUGGAAACGGUGGCUAAUACCGCAUAACGUCGCAAGACCAAAGAGGGGGACCUUCGGGCCUCUUGCCAUCAGAUGUGCCCAGAUGGGAUUAGCUGGUUGGUGAGGUAACGGCUCACCAAG